Molecule: ribosomal RNA, 483 nt
Filed under: uncultured bacterium
Lineage: Bacteria
Description: partial 16S ribosomal RNA
Rfam family: Bacterial small subunit ribosomal RNA
Source: RNAcentral
GACGAACGCUGGCGGCGUGCUUAACACAUGCAAGUCGAACGAUGAAGCUGGAGCUUGCUCCGGUGGAUUAGUGGCGAACGGGUGAGUAACACGUGAGCAAUCUGCCCUUCACUCUGGGAUAACUGCGGGAAACUGUAGCUAAUACCGGAUACGAGACCUUGGGGCAUCCCAGGGUCUGGAAAGAAUUUCGGUGAAGGAUGAGCUCGCGGCCUAUCAGCUAGUUGGUGAGGUAAUGGCUCACCAAGGCGACGACGGGUAGCCGGCCUGAGAGGGUGACCGGCCACACUGGGAAUGAGACACGGCCCAGACUCCUACGGGAGGCAGCAGUGGGGAAUAUUGCACAAUGGGCGAAAGCCUGAUGCAGCAACGCCGCGUGAGGGAUGAAGGCCUUCGGGUUGUAAACCUCUUUUAGUAGGGAAGAAGCGCAAGUGACGGUACCUACAGAAAAAGCACCGGCUAACUACGUGCCAGCAGCCGCAGUAA